GACGUGUUUGCAUUCGUCAGUUUUGAGCGUUUCGAGGCUCUGGGAUCUUUGGCUUUUGGACUUCUGGGCUCCCAGGGUUCUAGAUCUCUGGACUUUUGGAUUUUUAGGUUCUUAGGCUCUCCUGGACUUUUAGAUUUUUAGAUUCUUAGAGUCCUGCGUUUCUAGGUUUUCCAAUUUUUAGAUAUCCAGGUUCUUGGGCACCUAGACUUUUAGAUUUCUAGGUCCUUACUCGUAGACUUUUAGAUUCCUGGGCUCUUGGACUCCUGCAUUUGUAGAUUUUCAGAUUUUUAGAUUUUUAGAUUUUUAGAUUUUUAGGCUCCUAGACUUUUAGAUUUCUAGGUUCUUACACUCCCAGAUUUGUGGAUUUUUAGAUUCCUAGGUUCCUAGACUUUCAGAUUUCUAGGUUCCCAAUGCUCCUGCAUUUCUAGUCUUCCAAAUUUUUGGAUUCUUAGACUCCCGGUAUCCUGAGCUUCUGGACCCCUAAGUUUCCACACUCCUAAGCUUCUGAACUCCUAGGAAUUCUGAAUUACUGUAAUCUUCUGGAUUUCCACACUUUUGGAUAUUACAAUUUUCAAACCACCAGGUUCUCACGCCUCCUGACUUUCGGACACCUAGUCUCCUACUCUCCCAAACUCCUGCCCUUCCAGAUUCUCGGGGUCCCCGAGUAUCCACAACUCCAAAGUCCAUCCAUCGCUAUUUUUAUCCUCGAUAAAAAUUCUCGAUGAAAUACACCGAUCCGUCGCGUCCGAUGUCCACGAUGACAACUGACGUCUCCUCCCGUUUCACGCGUCCCGAUGAAUUCUUCUUUCUCGACGAAUUCAGCAAAAUUGUUAUCAUCGAGUGAGCCCGUCCUCUCUGUCCUCUACAGAGCUAUCCGGUUACCGGAUGUCUUCCAAACGGUGUAUUAUUCCAGUGUGUGUGUUAUUCCGAAAUGGUUGACCGAUGCCGGCGUUAUCGAAUCGGUACGCGGGGACCGGUGAUCCUCGCUUCGAGCGAUAAACAAACCGCAAUGUUGCUCGGCUGGUGUCGCGGUGACAACUGAAGUCUCCGGUUUCGCGCGUCCCAACGAGGCUCCCGAUACCCCACCAAAGAGUUGUGUUCACCAAAGUCGGGGCACCAGGUGUCGGCGGGCCUCAAAUCGCGCGGAGAGCCGCGCAGGUGACGCCGUCCGCCAGGAAUGCUUCCACGAAAACGACCCAAAGAAACGCGUACCUUUUUCUUCCCUCCGUAGCCUUUUUCGUUUUCUUUUUUCUUUUCGACCGAUCCAAGCGGUAUUCCCCGGACUCGACGAGUCAAGAAAGUUUCCGCGCUGGUAACCGCGACGAACUACGUCUGGAGGGGGAGGAAACAAGUUUCGAAACACGUCGAAGGGAAAAUAAAUAGUGGCGUGAAUUUUUGGGUGAGCGAAUAUCGAGGUAAUUUGGUCGCAUUAGUUCUGGGAGGUUUUGACAGAAGCAUGAGAUUUUUUGUGAAUUUUUGGAUUAGUGAAGAUUAAGGUAAUUUGAUCGAAUUCAUUUUUGGUGGUUUAGAUAGAAGGAUGACAUUUUUUUGUGAAUUUUUAUAUAGGCAAAAAUUGAGGUAAUUUGGUCGAAUUAAUUUUUGGGGGUUUAGAUAGAAGGAUGACAUUCUUUUGUGAAUUUUUAUAUAAGCAAAAAUUGAGGUAAUUUGGUCGUAUUAAUUUUGGGCG
Hylaeus anthracinus is the source of this 1687-nucleotide long non-coding RNA. RefSeq lists it as uncharacterized. The transcript is spliced from 3 exons. The record is from RefSeq and is a predicted model, not a curated record. Lineage: Eukaryota; Metazoa; Arthropoda; Insecta; Hymenoptera; Colletidae.